GGAGGGUGCAAGCGUUAAUCGGAAUUACUGGGCGUAAAGCGCGCGUAGGCGGCGUGUCACGCCGGGUGUGAGAGCCCCGGGCUCAACCUGGGAACGGCAUCCGGAACGGGCAGGCUAGAGUGCAGGAGAGGAAGGUAGAAUUCCCGGUGUAGCGGUGAAAUGCGUAGAGAUCGGGAGGAAUACCAGUGGCGAAGGCGGCCUUCUGGACUGACACUGACGCUGAGGUGCGAAAGCGUGGGUAGCAAACAGGAUUAGAUACCCUGGUAGUCCACGCCGUAAACGAUGUCGACUAGCCGUUGGGUCCCUUGAGGACUUAGUGGCGCAGUUAACGCGAUAAGUCGACCGCCUGGGGAGUACGGCCGCAAGGUUA
RNAcentral lists this ribosomal RNA (370 nucleotides) under uncultured bacterium. RNAcentral's name for it is "bacterial SSU rRNA". It matches the Rfam family "Bacterial small subunit ribosomal RNA", at positions 527 to 896 of the family's 1533-position model. The record is from RNAcentral.